Molecule: ribosomal RNA, 392 nt
Filed under: uncultured Gammaproteobacteria bacterium
Lineage: Bacteria; Pseudomonadati; Pseudomonadota; Gammaproteobacteria
Description: bacterial SSU rRNA
Rfam family: Bacterial small subunit ribosomal RNA
Source: RNAcentral
AAUGGAGGAAACUCUGAUGCAGCGAUGCCGCGUGAGUGAAGAAGGCCUUUGGGUUGUAAAGCUCUUUCGUCGGGGAAGAAAAUGACGGUACCCGAAUAAGAAGGUCCGGCUAACUUCGUGCCAGCAGCCGCGGUAAUACGAAGGGACCUAGCGUAGUUCGGAAUUACUGGGCUUAAAGAGUUCGUAGGUGGUUAAAAAAGUUGGUUGUGAAAUCCCGAAGCUUAACUUCGGAACUGCAAUCAAAACUUUUUAGCUAGAGUAUGAUAGAGGAAAGCAGAAUUUCUAGUGUAGAGGUGAGAUUCGUAGAUAUUAGAAAGAAUACCAAUUGCGAAGGCAGCUUUCUGGAUCAUUACUGACGCUGAGGAACGAAAGCAUGGGUAGCGAAGAGGAUU